Gasterosteus aculeatus aculeatus (three-spined stickleback) is the source of this 1089-nucleotide long non-coding RNA. NCBI's taxonomy places the organism in Eukaryota, Metazoa, Chordata, Actinopteri, Perciformes, Gasterosteidae. The record is from Ensembl.
GUCUUAUGACUCCGAUUUAGAAAAAAUUCAGAUUUUUAUUCAAAAGUACGUUUUCUUUUUUGCAAAAAUAUUUUGGCAUUUUUCAGACUUGGAAGUUUAAAAAAAGUUCUUUCAUUACUUUUACAAGUAUGGAGUGAACCCCAUGCAGGCUUACCCUACACCACCUAACACAGUGGCGCCACUGGGCGGAGUUGAACCCGAGGCAUCUGUCUGUGAGGCGAGAGUGCUGACCACUACACCACUGGUACCGUGUCAACUGCAGCUAUUAGAAUGUCUUAUGACUCCGAUUUAGAAAAAAUUCAGAUUCUUUUCUGGGUGGAGUUGAACCCGAGACAUCUUUCUGUGAGGCGAGAGUGCUAACCACUACACCACUGUACCGUGUCAACUGCAGCUAUUAGAAUGUCUUAUGACUCCGAUUUAGAAAAAAUUCAGAUUUUUAUUCAAAAGUACGUUCUCUCACCGUCGUCCCCCUUAAUAGAAAAGAUAGAAUUUCAUGACUUUUUGCAAAAAAAAUUUGGCAUUCUUUUCAGACUUGGAAGUUUUAAAAAAGUUUUUUCCAUUACUUUUACAAGUAUGGAGUGAACCCCAUGCAGCCUUAGCCUACACCAAAGGCGCCACUGGGUGGAGUUGACGAGGCAUCUGUCUGUGAGGCGAGAGUGCUAACCACUACACCACUGUACCGUGUCAACUGCAGCUAUUAGAAUGUCUUAUGACUCCGAUUAGAAAAAAUUCAGAUUUUUAUUCAAAAGUACGUUUUCUCACCGUCAUCCCCCUUCAUAUGACUAAAGAUAGAAUUUCAUGACUUUUUGCAAAAUAUUUUGGCAUUCUUUUCAGACUUGGAAGUUUAAAAAAAAUUUUUUCCAUUACCUUUACAAGCAUGGAGUGAACCCCAUGCAGGCUUAGCCUACACCAAAGGCGCCACUGGGUGGAGUUGAACCCGAGGCAUCUGUCUUGGAGGCGAGAGUGCUAACCACUACACCACUGUACAGUGUCAACUGCUGCCAUUAGAAUGUCUUAUGACUCCGAUUUAGAAAAAAUUCAGAUUUUUAUUCAAAAGUACGUUUUCUCACCGUCGUCCCCCUUCAUAUG